AAAAAUCCAAUGAUGGCCCAAUUACAUAUAGAUACAAGCGUCAAUAAUUUGUACAUACAUUAGAUAUACUUAUAUACAUGAUAUAGUGUAGUAUCUUUCUGUAGAAUAUUCUAGAAUACGUAUAUGUGUACAAAUUAGGUAUAGGUCGGUUAGGAAACCUUUUUUUAUUUACAGUUUAGUCCAUUGUAGAAUGUACAAAACAGCAGAAUCAGGGAUGGAGGAGAUCUGUGCUUAUUGCACUUUCAGCCAAAAAUAAGUUAAGCUUCAUCAAUGGAGUCAGUCCACAACCCAAGCCUGAUGAUCAGACCUAUCCAGCUUGGAGUAGAUGUAAUGAUAUGGUCACCUCUUGGAUCCUUAAUUCCUUGUCCAAAGAUAUUGCAGAUUCUGUCAUCUAUUCAAGAACUGCGAAGGAUCUUUGGACAGAUCUGGAGCAGAGGUUUGGUCAAUCCAAUGGAGCAAUUGUAUCACCUGCAAAAGGAAAUCAAUGGAUUAACUCAAGGAUCUACUGAUAUUGCAGGAUAUUUCACCAGGAUUAAGAGGCUUUGGGAUGAACUUGACUCUCUCAAUUCUCAUAUCAAUUGUCUGUGUGCUUGUACCUGUAAGGGAAAGAAGAAAAUAGCCAAAUCUUUGGAAGAUCAAAGACUCAUCCAGUUCCUUAUGGGACUUAAUGAUGUUUACUCCCAGGCUAGAGGAAACAUUCUUAUGUUGAAUCCUUUACCCAGAAUCAACCAUGCCUAUUCUCUUCUCCUUCAGGAUGAGAAUCAGAUGGAGGUAUAUGUGAACCCUCAAAUUCCUACUAAUUCCUCAUCUUUUAUGGCAGGUAAUCAUUAUAUAGUUAGGCAGAGACCGGCUAAACAGAGAUCCAAACCUGUUAAUCAGGUACAUGGACAAAGGUCCAGAUCUGGAACUAACCAGCCUCAGUGAGGUGGUUUCAAACCAAGGAAGACUAAGUAUAAUCCUAGUGUGAGUUGUACACACUGUCUAAAUACAGGACAUGUGGAGGAUGAUUGCUAUAGGCUCAUAGGAUAUCCUGAAGAUUUUGAGUUUACCAAUACUAAAGGGUAUGCUGUUAAAGGGAAUGCCACAUAUGUGACUGAGGAAUAGGAAGCCAUGGAUCACCAUUAUAGUGACCUUGAUAUCAAUGACCUCACACAACACCUUAGUAAGGGGCAAGUCUCACAGAUUAUAAAGAUCUUCAAACAAACACAAGGAGGGGGACAUACCACUAACGCCACUCCAAAGAUCAAUGCUAAUGCUAUAGCUGGUACUAUGACUAAAUAUAUAGGUUCAUGAAAAGCUGCUUUCAAUAGUGAUGUUUGGAUCAUUGACUCUGGUGCAUCUGAACAUAUGUGUUUUGAUGAGAAUUCCUUUCACAUUUUGAUUCCUUUCUCUUGUCCUGUGCAUAUUAACCUUCCCAACUCCCAUAGAGUCACUAUUACACAUAUAGGCAGUAUACAUAUAUUGCCAAAUCUAAUAUUGAACAAUGUUCUUCUUGUCCCUUUUUUUAAGUAUAAUUUAUUAUCUGUGCAUAAAUUGUGCUUACAAUUUAAUUGUACUAUCUUUUUUAACUCUGGUAAGUAUCUCAUGCAGGGCCCUACGAGGAGGGCACAAGCUUUUGGUGAAUCUAGAGAUGGACUCUAUCUAUUGCAACCUACCAGUUUUAAGUCUAGGGAGUCCAAAACAAAUGAUGUAUCUAAUGUUUCUACUAAUGGUCAUUUCAAUUCAGUUCUAGUUUCUUUUCCUUUUACUACAAAUACACUGUCAGAUGUAAAACUUUGGCAUGUAAGACUCGGGCACUUGCCUUUUCAAGCAAUGAAACAUCUUAAUUUGGUCUCUUUUCCGUCUAGUUUUGAUUGUUCUUGUGAUAUUUGUCCUCUUGCAAGACAAACAAGAAGCACCUUUCCUUAUAAGUUCUAUCAAAACCAAGAGAAUUUUUGAGUUGAUUCAUAUAGACAUUGGGGACCUUACAAGGUUCAUACACAUGAUGGAUAUAAGUAUUUCUUAACUAUUGUGGAUGAUUUUAGCAGGGGCACUUGGACCUUCUUACUCACUGCAAAGAGUAGUGCUUUUCCAAUGCUCAAAAAUUUCUUGGCUAUGGUUGAAAGACAGUUCAAUGUGAAAGUUAUGAGGAUAAGAUCAGACAAUGCUCUAGAACUUGGGAAGGGGUCUCUGGAAGCUAGUUACCUAAACUCUCAUGGAAUUGUUCAUGAAACCUCAUGUGUUGCUACUCCUCAACAAAAUGGAGGUGUCGAGAGAAAGCAUAGGCACUUGUUAGAGAUUGCCAGAGCUCUUCUUUUUCAGUCCAAACUUCCUACAUCAUUCUGGGGAGAAUCCAUUCUCACAGCCACACAUUUGAUCAAUAGAAUACCUUCUAGGGUCCUCCAAGGGAAAAGCCCGUAUCAGUUACUUUUUGGGAAAUUGCCUAAAUAUAGAUCCUUGAGAAGUUUCGGAUCACUAUGUUAUGCUUCUACUCUACAACAUCGUAGAAGUAAAUUUGAUCCUAGGGCUAAACCUUGUAUCUUUCUGGGAUAUCCACAAGGACAGAAAGGGUACAAAUUGUUGGACUUAGAAACCAAAAAGAUUUUAGUUUCUAGAGAUGUCCACUUUCAGGAGACCAUUUUUCCUUUUUCUACUUUUUCUCCUACCCCAGAGCCUAUUUUUCCCAUGCAUGAGUCAUCUUAUUCAGAUCUUACUCCUUCGAUCUCAGAAUCUGUAGAUGUCAGUCUUGCUUCAUUUCCUUCUCUCUUUGAGUCUGCCUCACCUCCCAGUCCUACCCUUGACACCCACUCUUUCCCCUUUCCUACCAUUCCUCCCAGGAGAUCAGAAAGGACAAGGAAAAUACCUGAUUAUCUAACUGACUUUGUUUGCAAUAACAUAUUUAUUUCAGAUGUCACUAGAACUUGUUUUGCAGUGCCUAUGCAGGCUUCUACUUUCUCCUUUGGGGCCUUAUCUAUGCAGAAUCAACACCUCCUAGGUUCUAUCAACACUAUCACUGAACCUAAAGGGUAUUCCCAGGCAUGUUUGCAUCCUGGCUGGAGGGUUGCUAUGGAUAGGGAACUCAAAGCUCUCAUAGAUAAUAACACUCAGGAAGAGGUUUCCUUACCUAAAGGACGAAAGGCUCUACCUUGUAAAUGGAUAUAUAAGGUCAAACAACACUCAGAUGAAACCAUUGAGAGACUGAAGGCAAGACUUGUGAUCAGAGGAGACAUUCAGAGAGAAGGCAUUGCUUAUAAUGAGACCUUCUCCCCUGUGAUCAAAAUGACCACAAUCAGGUGCCACCUAACCAUUGCAGUCAAGAAGGGAUGGUCAAUUUCCCAACUUGAUGUUAAUAAUGCAUUUUUACAUGGUGACUUACAAGAGGAAGUCUACAUGCAGUUUCCUUUAGGGAUGGAUAAGCCUAAUUCUAACCUUGUAUGCAAGCUAAGAAAAUCUCUCUAUGGUUUGAAACAAACUUCACAACAAUGGUAUGCGAAGCUUGCUGGGGCUUUACAAUUUAAAGGUUAUUCAGCUUCAUUGAAAGAUUAUUCCUUAUUUUUCAAAAAAUCAUGUUCUUCAAUUUCUAUAGUUGCUAUAUAUGUGGACGAUAUUCUCAUUACUGGGAAUGAUCCAUCAGAAUUUAUUCAACUUAAGGGAUUUUUGAAUUCAGAAUUUCAUAUCAAGGACCUGGGAGAACUACAUUACUUUCUGGGCAUGGAGGUAUUACGAGAAACUCAAGGUAUAAUUUUGGGACAGAGAAAAUUUACCUUCGAACUCGUAGAGGAGUUUGAUUGCUCACAUCUGCCGCCUGUUUUUUCACCUUUUGCUCCUUCUGAAAAGCUAUCGACUUCUGCUGGUCCUCUCCUGGCAAAUCCCACAAUGUAUCGACGGCUUGUUGGUAAGCUUAAUUACCUCACUCACACUCGCCCGGACUUGUCUUAUGUUGUGCUUUGUCUUAGCCAAUAUACGCAAACCUCGUGUGUUGGUCAUUAUAAUGCCGGACUCAGAGUGUUGCGAUAUUUGAAAUCUAAUCCAGACCAAGGUUUGUUUUUAAACGCUUCCUCCUCUUUGUCACUCAUUGCCUUUUGUGAUGCGGAUUGGGCCUCUUGUAAAGACUCGCGCAGAUCGGUUAGUGGAUUUUUCAUCAGUCUUGGCGGCUCACCUAUUUCUUGGAAAUCCAAGAAAUAAGCUUCCAUUUCCCUCUCCUAAGCUGAAUCAGAGUAUAGAUCGAUGUGUCGGGUUACUACUGAACUCACCUGGUUGACUCGAUUGCUCAAGGACCUAUCUCUACAACAGACUCUACCUAUUCCUGUCUUCUCUGAUAGAAAAGCUGUUAUUUAUAUUGCUCGUAACCCGGUGUUUCACGAAUGCACUAAACAUGUGGAACUUGAUUGCCAUUUUGUCCGACAACAAUUCCUUGCGGGCUUGAUUUCUUUAUCCUUCGUCCCUUCAUCGGCUCAGCUAGCUGAUCUCUUUACUAAACCAUUGGCUGGACCUUCUCACCACAUGAUUCUGUCCAAGUUGGGUAUCAGUUCCCUCCCCUCCAACUUGAAGGGGGGUGUUGAGUUUUAUAGUGCAUCGAAAUCAAAGAAGAAAGAAGUG
This 4578-nucleotide long non-coding RNA is filed under the name Solanum tuberosum (potato). RNAcentral's name for it is "long non-coding RNA (STUB_LNC009984)". The record is from RNAcentral. Lineage: Eukaryota; Viridiplantae; Streptophyta; Magnoliopsida; Solanales; Solanaceae.